GGGCCCGUAGCUCAGCCUGGUAGAGCACGACGCUCUUAACGUCGCUGUCGUGAGUUCAAAUCUCACCGGGCUCGC
This 75-nucleotide transfer RNA is filed under the name uncultured archaeon. RNAcentral describes it as "tRNA-Lys(ctt)". It matches the Rfam family "tRNA". Rfam says of the family: Transfer RNA (tRNA) molecules are approximately 80 nucleotides in length. Their secondary structure includes four short double-helical elements and three loops (D, anti-codon, and T loops). The record is from RNAcentral.